Nicotiana tabacum (common tobacco) is the source of this 637-nucleotide long non-coding RNA. RefSeq lists it as uncharacterized. The record is from RefSeq and is a predicted model, not a curated record. Lineage: Eukaryota; Viridiplantae; Streptophyta; Magnoliopsida; Solanales; Solanaceae.
AUAAUUUCAAAUGCUAAUAUCUCAUUUUUCUCUCCAUGGAUAAAAAGAGAGUUCCACUUUUCCUCCAUCUCCUCCAUGAAGACGGGAAAACCGAUCUUGGCCUGUGUUAUCAAUACAUGCUGUCACCAAAAUUUCAAGCUUUCUUGCAACGGACUUCACAAUCGUGUUUAUGGCGCCGGAAGAAGAGAAGACGACUCGCCGUUCUCCUCUUGAUUUCCCCAUUGUGAGCUUUCAUCGUUUGUCAGUUUUAGUGGGAAUCAGACUAUGCCAAAGACGCAAUUACUCUGCCUGCAAGUUACAGUAGUGGACCUGCAUCAUAUCCCCUCACUUGUUAGCCAUGUUGGUUAACUGCAUCAUAUGGUGCAACUGCCAUGAUAAGGAAGAAGUAGGAAUCAAGAUGGCACUAUUUUUGUUCAUUACACUAGGAAAAUUGGUGGAAUUAAUGCAGAUGUUGAACAAGUGGAGAACCAACGAAAUGUAUUGGGUUUACCUCCUCAUAUGUCUGAUGCUCGUACCAUCAAUAGGAAAUCAGGGUAUUUUUUCCGUUUCAAGGAACGUAAAAUUAAAAGAUUAAAACUGAUUUUAGCCUAUUAUUUUGAUUGUAUCCGAACUAAUGUGUUUAGAAUAUUUGAUCCCA